Molecule: long non-coding RNA, 466 nt
Filed under: Malus domestica (apple)
Lineage: Eukaryota; Viridiplantae; Streptophyta; Magnoliopsida; Rosales; Rosaceae
Description: long non-coding RNA (MDOM_LNC006938)
Source: RNAcentral
GGCUCUCGAGAUUCGGAGAACGAUGCCUCUUCGAUUUUUGAGAAAGCAAUCAUGCUGGGGGUCUGGCUCUCGAGAUUCGGAGAGCAGUGUCUCUUCGAUUUUUGAGGAAGUAAUCAUGUUGGGAGUCUGGCUCUCGAGAUUCGGAAGGCGGUGCCUCUUCGAUUUUGGAGCAAGCAAUCCUGUUGGGAGUGUUGUCUCGAAUGUGAGUAAAGGUUGGGCAUGUUUGCUAGUCUACCUUGCCCCGAAGCACAAAGGUUGACACACACAGGGACUUUCCAAUUAUCCAGCAAUGGUACUGUUCCUUUACCCUCUCUUCGCUUUUGAGAAAGUAGUCAUGUUGGGAGUCUGGCUCUCGAGAUUCGGAGGACGGUGCCUCUUCGAUUUUGGAGCAAGCAAUCUUGUUGGGAGUGUUUUCUCGAAUGUGAGUAAAGGUUGGGCAUGUUUGCUAGUCUACCUUGCCACGAAG